GGACCCGCACAAGUAGUGGAGCAUGUGGUUUAAUUCGAAGAUACGCGCAGAACCUUACCAACACUUGACAUGUUCGUCGCGACUUUAAGAGAUUAAAGUUUUCGGUUCGGCCGGACGAAACACAGGUGCUGCAUGGCUGUCGUCAGCUCGUGUCGUGAGAUGUUGGGUUAAGUCCCGCAACGAGCGCAACCCUCACUUUUAGUUGCCAUCAUUAAGUUGGGCACUCUGAAAGAACUGCCAGUGAUAAGCUGGAGGAAGGUGGGGAUGACGUCAAGUCCUCAUGGCCCUUACGUGUUGGGCUACACACGUGCUACAAUGGUAUCUACAACAGGAAGCAAGACUGCGAAGUU
This 350-nucleotide ribosomal RNA is filed under the name uncultured bacterium. RNAcentral describes it as "bacterial SSU rRNA". It matches the Rfam family "Bacterial small subunit ribosomal RNA", at positions 917 to 1264 of the family's 1533-position model. The record is from RNAcentral.